CUGAUAAUGACGUUACGUUUCAAAGAGAGGAAAGGGGGAGAAAAAUCAUAAAGAGCCCAAACAAAACAGCCCGCUCUGUCCUCCUGCCACCUCCAGCUCAGCCCCAAGGAAAACUUAUUGGCCUGGCUGAGGGGGAGCUGGUGCGGGCCGGAGCCCGACGCUGACCAUUCUGUGAUAGACAAAGAGAUCCCAGCCCGGAGCGGGCUCUGUUCCACCGCGACUCUCCUCCAAGCUCAUUUCACUCCCUAAAUCUGCGCUGCGGACAUAUAGGGGCACAGGAUCUGCAUAAUUACAGCCACAGCCGCUCCCCUUUUUAAUAAAGCGACAUAAUUCUCUAAUAAACGUCCCCUUUCCCCCCACCUCCUCCUCUCCCCAGACCCCAGCCCAAGGGAAAGGGGAUCCGUGUCUUUUGACUGCGUUCCCUAAGUCUAUAGAUGAGCUCAGUUUGAAACGAGGUAUUACAAGAUUGCAGCGUUACAGACCCUUUAUCUGAGGCACAGACACUUUCAGAUCCCCAGCCCCCACCGCCUCUCCUUUUUGUUGUCUCUUCUCCUCCCGGGGGCUAUUUGACAAAGGCACUGUGUUAACUAACAUUUUUGUUUAACUCAGCAACUUCUUUUCAAAACAUACUUAAACCUGAUAGCAAUCUCUUGUACUUUUUUUUUUUUUAUUUCUUUUCCUUCCCCGAGAUGAAAUUGACUCUGAACCCAAGGCGUUUGGCUCUUAUUAAUUAUUUCUUUCUUUGCAGGUAUCAGUCAUACAAAUCUAUUGUUAAUGCCCUCCCCCCCCCCCCCCCCCAAACACAUUCCGGUACACUCAAUAAGGGCUGGGGGGGUGAGGGGGGGAGGGGUGAAGGGGGGGUUGGAGGGAGGUCAGAGGAAAAGCGACCCCAAAUCCCCUCUCCGAUUCCUAGAAAGUUUUGUUCGCAAAAGAAAUAAACUAGCAACAAUACACCGCGGUACGAUCCUGCCCCCGCUACCCCACGUUUGGCAUUCACCUCCCGCAAGUGCACCCAACGAGCGGUCACCUAAGACAAAAAAUCACACCCGAGCACAGCACAGACACCUCCAUAACAUUCUGAGCUAAACAGUGCCGGUCCCGUUUGCCUUUUUUUUCUUUUUCUUUUUUUUUUUCUUGCUGCUGUUGUUAUUUUGGCUGGAGCCGCACAAAACGCGCACCCGGACGUUACUAUAAAUAAAAGCCUCCCAGGUCUGAGCCUGCUGCCGGCGCUUCCUCCGCAGCCUUAACAGCCCUUUUUCAGCUCCUUUCUUGGGCAGAUCGCGGGGAUUAAAUGCCCUGAACCUGAGCUCCUGGCCUUGGAUGGGAAGGGAAAGAAAAAGGGAGAGGGAGAGAGAGAAAGGAGCGGGUGAAGGAGCCAGGCGCCCUCUGGGCUUUCAGAGGUCAGCGCUUUGACAGCGUUCUGACCUCCCUCCCCUCCCGGCAACCACCCCAGUGUUUAUAAACAAAAACAGUCAGGACUGGCCCCAAACAAUAGCAAUUCACCAACUUCACAGGCACUUCUCUCGCUCUUAUGCAAAUCGAGGAAAACGACCGCUUACCGCCGCGCUCCCCCCCAUCCCCUUCAGAAAGCCCAAGAGCAUAUUUCCAGCGGUGAUAUAUCCAAGGGAAAAAUUUUACAGUCUCUCCUGGAAAAGGACAAAAAGGGACUUCAGAAAGCAAACGGUUCGGGUAGAAAGGCAGACAAAAAGCGAGAAAAAAGCCAAUAAAACUGCCGAUCUUACUGCAGAAAGAGGAAAGUUAUGAAAUAUUUAUAUCUAAAUCCAACAAUCCACCCUGCCAAUAAAGCAGGAAUCUUUGUUGUGCAGACAAUAUGCUAAACUACCUCUGCGACAAACAGCGAUUAUAAAGCAACCAGCAAAAGUUAUUUUCGCCCAAGGAGCCAAGUUUUCAAAGAAAACGUGUGGAUUUUACAGCUAAAUAAAAGCCACCACCUCUGUGUUAUCCGUAAAAACUACACAUAAAUUAAAAGCACCGUUAAAAGAAAAGAAAUCCUUCCAGCCAGCAAGCAGCACAUCUGAUCUGACUUACAAAAAAAAAAAAAAAAAAAAAGUAUAAUUAAAACCACCUUUAAUUACAAAAAGCAGCGAGCGAAAGCUAAAUGAAUCAAUGCCUUCUCCCCAAAAUGUUGUCCGCCAAGGUACAGCACUGACAGUCCUAUAGUCCUGCAUUAAAGCGUAACUGAAACUCUACAGUUCAGGAAUUGAUUACGCGAUAAGGAAGGAAAAAAAAAAAAAAAAGCAAAAGAAAGGGAAAAAAAAAAAGUCCUAAUGAUUUUCAAACUUUUGUUUAAAAAUGAUGAAGAUCAGAAAAGGUUGGAGGAAAAGUUAAAGGAAAUAUACCUCAAGAGAAAAAAGACCAUCUCCUUUUCUUCUUUGUCUAUCAGUCUCCAGUUAAAGCAUAUGGAAAAUGUUUUCAAAAUGCCUAGAUUUGGCACAUUGUCAUUGCAAAGAGAGGAGCGCAGUGAUGCUGUUAUAGAAAAUGGGAAAUAAAUUCAGGAUUGGGUGCUGCCUCCUUCAAUGCGGAUUUAUCUAAGUUUAAUUUAAUAUUCCGCAAUCACUGUAUGAUCGCAUAUAAUUCACCAAGAUUUUUAAGGGCUUUGCCUAAAUACGCUGACCACAGGCACAAAGUAAUUUAUACAGAUGAUUUCCUCCUUUUAUUCGCGUUUAUUUUUCUCAUUAGAAACACUUUAAAUUGCAACUGUAAAUAAUAGAAAUGAAGGAAUAUUAGGUUUGGGGUGAACAGACGCCCAGAGAAGGAUAUGGAAAAAAUGAAGGCACUGAUACUGGUCAUUGGUAUUUCUGAGAAUAUUGGAUGUUUUAGAACAAAAAAUAUAUUCAACAACACUUGAAGAUUAAGAAAAUAUUAGAUGCGAAUAAGGUAUAGAGUCCUAAAUAAAAAUGUGCCUGAUCCAAAUAGGAAGCAAUAUGCAGGAUAACUUAAAGAAAAAAAGAAAAAGUGAACUCACUGUAUUGCUGGUCACUUCCAUGUGGGAAUAAACCGUUCAACAUGGAGUAGUAUAGGUACCUUUUUAAUGCUGAAAUGGGCAUGCUAAUUGUGAACUAUGCGGUCAGAAGCUCCUUCUAAAAUAUUCAGUAACUUAUUUACUGGAAUUUAACAAGCUGUGUACUUCAAAGCUUCUUUCACCUCUAAUUAAGUGCAUAAACUCUGUGAAUCGUAUUGGCAACUUGAGAUUUGGCACAGCAGCAGCAGUGCUGAAGCAGCCCCCACCGCUAGGAAAGGUACAAACACAGGCAAGUGACCUGUGAUGGGCUGAGAGACCUCGCUUACCAGGAUUUGCUCACGGUUAUGCUUCUGGCAACUGACAUUUCCAUUUUACUCAAAGCUUCUACCUUUGUGUCAUCAGACAAAGCCCCAUGAGUGGUGGCAGAGCAAACUGUAGCCUUCAUUCUCAAGUUUGAAGAGGAAAAGUUAUUUACAUGCCUAAAUCGCAGAACAUGAUGUUCAAAGGUCACUUUCUGUUACUCAUUGUUAUAAACCACUAAGUUUUCCAAAAGCUCUAUAAGGAAAAGGCACAUAGUUUGGGCAGAAACAUGUAAUUGGUUGUUUUCUUCUUUUAUUUUCUUUUCUUAUUGUAUGAUCUGAUUUUUGUACUACCAGAGGAAUGUCGAAGAUGAGAUGUUUCUGUCGUUCCGUACCAUGAACAAUUGCUUAAAGGGACCAUCAGAGACUGCAAGACAAAUCUAUGACCCUCCUUAAGAUUUUUAUGUUCUGAAGAGGAAUGACUUUUAAUUGGUUAGGAUUUUAGAGUUUAUGAUGUAAGGAAAAGUACUGAUUCCUGUAAUGACUGAUCCUUUACUGUUUUUAUUAGACUUUCAACUGAGCAUUUCUUAAACUUUCUUCUUAUGAAUUUAGACAAAUAUUUAAUUGUUUUAUUGCUGUAAUGCCAUUUCCCCCCACCCCAUUUUAGACAUAUUUUCCUGAAUGUGAGCCUGAAUUUAGUGACAAGCAGUCUGAUUUCCAGAAAUGUAUUGUUAUCAGUAAAAGUACUCCAUACCAAAAUGUGUGAAUGGAGAUGUUAAGAGAAAGCACAAAUAAUGCCUUUAUUCAUUACGAGAUGAAGCCCUGAGAAGUCAAGGUUAUUUAAUGGAAAUGAAUAAAUGCAGCUUGAAAUAUCUUUAUUUUCCAAACUGCAAGAGCAACUCAAACAAUAAGGAUAGCAUAUAAAGAAACAAACAACAAAGUCAGUUGAUUUCCUUAAAAAAUAUUUGGAACUUAAAAAAAAAAAAGAGGGAAAGCCGUCAUUUGACAUGGUGAUUAGGGUAGACUGAAGGACUCGGCUCAGAGGCUGCUUAUGCUGCUAUUGCACAGCAAAACUGUGUAGGGCAUUUAAUCUCUCUUAGUUUUCCUGUUUGUAAGUAACAAGCUGAUAAUGCUCACUUCAGUCUAGUGUUGUGCAAUAUUCAGAUGUUUCACAAUACAAUAGAAAAGUGUGUCACAGUGUACUUAAAAGUUGCCUGUUAAACUUCAUGUUUUUGAGAUGAAAGAAAAUUUCUGCUAUGCAUCUUGAAAGAGCUCAUUCCUUAAGGUGGUGGUGGCAGCUUUAAGCUUUUCUGAGAUAUAUUUUAUUUUUGUUUGUUUUUUUAACUGCUUAAUGGGCUAAUUUUUGGUAUCAUCUCUGGAAUAUGUAUGUCUCCUAUGACUGAAAGGAAGGAUGGUUGAUGCAAAUGAAAAAAGUCUCUUUUAGGAGAUCCUGUGAUCAGUAGAAUUCUGUCACCAUCACAAAAACAUACUUAGCAUGGCAUAUAUUUCUCAUUUCAGCUAAUAAACCUAACAUCUUUGUCUGGACAACAUCUCAAGCCUCUUUGCUAAAUGAUAUUACUGGAAGACUCCUUAUCAUUAAAGGAAUUGAGAUGGAGUCAGAUAAUAUGUAAAUUACAUAGCUUUUUCCCAUAAAUAAGCAAAUUGAUGUUUCCCAGUGUAGUAAAACACUUCUUAUUGGUACUGAUAAUACCACAGUCUUGAAGAGGUUAUCUAAAAAAGAUAAACUGAGAAAAAUUGGAUGCAACAUAUUUUCAAGUGGACAUCUACAUAAAUGUCUUCAGAUCAGGACUGUGUUUCUGAAGUUACUCUCCUGAUUAUCUCCACUUACUGUGCUAUGUUUAACACAGUGUUAAUGUCUUCUCAUGGGCAAGAACUAGCUUUCUUUUGGAGAACACUAAGCUGAGAUAUAUUGUCUGGAUACUGACGUCAGUACUCCAUUCUCAAACAGAUAUUAGGUUCAUGGAACCAUAUGAAGUGAUCCUGAAGUGAGGGCAGUAGGACUUCAACACUAAUUCUAAAGAGCCUGGUCAUAUUCUGUUUGUUACACUACUUGUUAUUCCUAAACACAUUUCUCAGAUCUGUAGGAAAUGGUCAUGGGCUCUUUCUGAGAAAGGCUUGAGCAGAGGUAGAUACCACCAAGCUAGAGUUAUUUAGAAAGAAACAAUUCUUUCCCCUUGGUUUGUACUUGAGCAACAAGGACAGUGCCCAGAAUAUUUUGCAUUGUAUUUCUAGCAUAACCUAAAUUUUUCUUCCGCAAUAUGGGCAUAUUAGCCACCCACAUUUCAAUUAUCUGGGACUACAGGUACAAUAGCUUAUUUGCUGUAGAUUGUCUCAUAUUCUAUAAAUAGAGAAAGAGAAUAUUUCUUGACAGAACAAGACAAAACUUGGAUCACUGUGAAUCUCCUCUCAAUAAUUUGGAUGACUGCACAUUUUGUACUGCAUGUAAGGAUAUCAGCAGGGAAUUAGUGAAAGUUGUACAAAACCUAUAUAAAACUAAAAGUUAUCUCUACAGAAAAUAUUGGAAAUACUAUUGAUGACUACUCUCAAAAUGGGCCCAUAGUAGUGCAGUUAUUUUUUCUCUUGAGUAUUCUAAGCCAUGCCCUAGGUUUGCCUAUAGCUUUAUGUUCUUGCUGUGGAGCCCUGAAAGGUUUUCCGGCAUUGAACAGUAGUCAGAGUCUAUGACAUGAGAGAUAUUAAAAAUAAUAAUAAUAAUAAAUCAUUUGUGCCUGAAACUUCCAGCAUUUAGGGUAGGAGAGGCAACUAAUCAAAGACAGAACCAAAAUGGUUUAUAAGAACAUCCAAAUUAGGAAUGCAGAAUUUUACUUUUGAGAUCAUCUGCAAAAUGACAAAGAUGUCCUUUACCUGCAUCAUUACCAGUAUUAAGCACCAGCUCACAGCUGAAGUACAUGUCAUAUCACUGAUACAUGCUUGUCAGAUGCCAUCGAAUAUAUUGAAUCUUACAGAAAAAAAAUGCAAAACUAUUAUAUGAUAACUGUAUUAUUAUAUGAUACAAAAGUAUGUGUUAGGAUUGCUGGUAUUGUAAAGAUUAAAUGAGAGAGUAAUCCAUUAACAUAACCUUUCAUGUAUCAUCUACCUUUAUUUAAAUCCAGAGUGGUUUAAGUUCUUAAGGGGGCAUCUUUUGGACUCAUUCAUUAAUGGUGAAAAUGACUAAUUUGUGUAUAGUCUAAUCAUGUUACUAUUUCAAGUUACUUUAAUUGCAGCACUUAGUAAGUUCGUGAAGCAGAAUUUCAUUCCAUCUGGUGAUUACUUAUUUACUUACAUUAAUCAUACAGUCAGAAAACAAGGAAUUAAAAAAAAAAAAAAGGAGCUACUGAAAACUUGAUUGAUCAUACUGGAGAAAUUAAUGUUAAUAAAUGUGUCCAUAUGGAACUUGAAAAUUUCAACACCCUUCAAGAAAUUAAUGUAGAAAACAAACAGGGAACUGCAAAUGCUGUGAUUUCCCUAAGAAACUUAAUUUUCCUACUAUUUGAACUAGCUAAUAUAUCAAAAGUAGACAAAUAUAAAAAAUAGCUAUUGAAGCUAUUUACAUUUUAUUAUUUUUUCAAUUCUUGUAUUGUAUAUACUUACUGAGUUUGCUUUCACUCUGCUGUGAAUCUCUGAGACAAGCUAGAUACUUGUGGGGACCUAUUAUGUUAGCUUAGGGAUAAAAACAGUGCUCCCACUUGGUCAUAUUAGGUCCUUCAGUAAACUAUUUUCAGGCUUGAACAGGUGCAUGACUGACCUGAGGAAGAGGUACGUUAAACAUUUUAGAAGUCUGUUACUUUCCAAGUCAUUAGUCCUAUUCUUCUGACGUCUCUAAAAUGCCCUAAAGCAAUCUACAGAUCAUUACCCUCUAACAGAUGACUUUUAGAAUUCUAUUCUCCAUCCACAACAAUUAUACAGAUGGACCUCUAUGUAGUGUAGUAUGACCAUCCUUGUCUGCUGUUUCAAACGUGGAAGCCAUUUUGUAUUCUUUAUAACUUGGUUGGUUGCUAAUAUAUCAAAAUCCAUAGUGAUUUAUACUGGCACAAAGUAUCUGUUUACAUCACAAGCAGCAGUUUUGCUGUACUGUUAUGGACGUUUAGACUACACAAAACAACAGGUUGCAAUGCUGUGCUUUCAGAGCUGCAGUGGUAUGUGAGUGGGCACAUGUGCACAGCAGAUCACUAGUUAUUGCAGCACAGGCAGCCUCUGCUUCUGCUAUAUAUUUUCACAACUGAUAGGCUUUUUUUUUUUUUUUUUUUUUUGUUUGGAGGUUGUCAUAUGGUAUAACACUUUUACUAGUUGACUCCUCCUACUUUUCUUCAAACCACAUCCUGAUUUUUGGCCUCAGAAACCAAACAUAUGCACAGCUUGCAGAACAACACAUGAUAUUGUUUCUGUAUAACAUCAUACCAGCUGGGAUAUAAAUUCUUACAGACAAUUUUAUGCGAAUGAAAAAUACCUACAUUAAGACAUUUUCCAUAGCUAUGCAAUAUAUACCACAGUAGAGCAUAUGGUCUACAGUCAGAGAUCCUCACUUAUAACUAUAACAAAAGCCCCAAGUCAGCCUCAGAUCUUCAGACAGUGUAAUUUUUAAUAGAUCAUUCUAAUUUCUUUCUAUUUUUUUCAUACUUCUUCUAUUGUGUUUUGGAUUUCUGGAAUCUAACAUCAGCUAUUUUGCUGUAUCGUUGAAGACCCUUAAUCUUUUUGAUUUAUCCAGUGUGGAGCACCAUAAAGCUAUUAUUUAACUAAAAAGCAACAAAUAUUUGGUGAAACUCUAAGUUGUAUCAUAAUCUGAAGAUAUAUCAAUAGCAAGAACUUAGAAUUUGUAGGAAAUAUAUUUCAACAUUUAUUUUCACUAUUAGAAAACUGUUCUAUAUCUGAUUUGUCAGUUUUCCCCAGAUUUUUUUUUUGUGGGUGGAGUACUUAUUUUAUUCUCCUUUCAUGAUAAAUAAGAUUUGGAUAUAAAUAUUUAUCACAUGACCUACAAACUUUAACCAAGUCACUCCCAAUACUCUUUUUCGAUAAUCAGUUAAUCACAGUAAAUAAUUUUCUCCUGCUCUCCAGUUAUGCAACUUUUUAUUUCCUUCUACCGUAUCUGUUAAAAUAUGGACAGCAGAACUAUGGGAAAUAUUCCAACAGUUUCAUCAGGAUUGAAAGAUCACAUUAGCUCUGUUCAUGCAGUUUUGCAGUAGGUACUCAUGUUGAAUUGCUAGUCCACUAUGGCCCAUAAAUUCAUGCAGAGCUGAUGCAUUUUGAGGCAAUAUACCAUUGUUUUGAGGGGUGGAAUUCUUUUGUAUUGAUGCAUAAGCUUGUAUUCAUCUCUUCUAAAAUGCUCUUUAAUUUUUUUUAAAUUAUUAUUAUUUUUAAUGUUCCUAACUUGCCAAGAGAUCUCUUCUUUCCUGAGAUCAUCAUUAUGUACUACUCACGUGCCUUUCAUCCUUAACACGGUAAUUUCUAUAUGCACCUCCAAUGAGGUGACCUCAGAGCUCAAAAUAUUCUCAGCUUCAGAGCUGAGAAUACUGAGCAGCACUGGGCCUAGAGCUGAUCCCCGAUGAAUAACAUUAAAAAGAGUCAAUAACAAUUCUCAUUUUAAGGUAUAUUUUGAUCACCUGUUGACCAACUUUUAAUGAAUUGAAAUUAUGAAUAUUAAUGCAAUGUAGUAGAUUCUUUUUCUUAAUAAAAAUAUCAUAAAAUAAA
Molecule: long non-coding RNA, 8985 nt
Organism: Gallus gallus (chicken)
Lineage: Eukaryota; Metazoa; Chordata; Aves; Galliformes; Phasianidae
Source: Ensembl